UUUAAACUUGAGAGUUUGAUCAUGGCUCAGAACGUACGCUGGCGGCACGCCUAACACAUGCAAGUCGAACGAAGUAGCAAUACUUAGUGGCAGACGGGUGAGUAACAUGUAGGUAUCUGCCCUUUGGCCUGGAAUAACACGAGGAAACUUGUGCUAAUACCGGAUAAGUCUUUACGGAGAAAGCUUUAUGCACCAUUGGAUGAGCCUGCACUUGAUUAGUUUGUUGGUGGGGUAAUGGCCUACCAAGACUGUGAUCAAUAGCUGAUUUGAGAGGAUGAUCAGCCACAUUGGGACUGAGACACGGCCCAAACUCCUACGGGAGGUAGCAGUGGGGAAUCUUGCACAAUGGAGGAAACUCUGAUGCAGCGAUGCCGCGUGAGUGAAGAAGGCCCUUGGGUUGUAAAGCUCUUUCGUCGGGGAAGAAAAUGACUGUACCCGAAUAAGAAGGUCCGGCUAACUUCGUGCCAGCAGCCGCGGUAAUACGAAGGGACCUAGCGUAGUUCGGAAUUACUGGGCUUAAAGAGUUCGUAGGUGGUUGAAAAAGUUGGUGGUGAAAUCCCAGAGCUUAACUCUGGAACUGCCAUCAAAACUUUUCAGCUAGAGUAUGAUAGAGGAAAGCAGAAUUUCUAGUGUAGAGGUGAAAUUCGUAGAUAUUAGAAAGAAUACCAAUUGCGAAGGCAGCUUUCUGGAUCAUUACUGACACUGAGGAACGAAAGCAUGGGUAGCGAAGAGGAUUAGAUACCCUCGUAGUCCAUGCCGUAAACGAUGUGUGUUAGACGUUGGAAAUUUAUUUUCAGUGUCGCAGCGAAAGCGAUAAACACACCGCCUGGGGAGUACGACCGCAAGGUUAAAACUCAAAUGAAUUGACGGGGACCCGCACAAGUAGUGGAGCAUGUGGUUUAAUUCGAAGAUACGCGCAGAACCUUACCAACACUUGACAUGUUCGUCGCGACUCUAAGAGAUUAGAGUUUUCGGUUCGGCCGGACGAAACACAGGUGCUGCAUGGCUGUCGUCAGCUCGUGUCGUGAGAUGUUGGGUUAAGUCCCGCAACGAGCGCAACCCUCACUUUUAGUUGCCAUCAUUAAGUUGGGCACUCUGAAAGAACUGCCAGUGAUAAGCUGGAGGAAGGUGGGGAUGACGUCAAGUCCUCAUGGCCCUUACGUGUUGGGCUACACACGUGCUACAAUGGUAUCUACAACAGGAAGCAAGACUGCGAAGUUAAGCAAAUCCCUAAAAGAUACCUCAGUUCGGAUUGCACUCUGCAACUCGAGUGCAUGAAGCUGGAAUUACUAGUAAUCGUGGAUCAGCGUGCCACGGUGAAUGCGUUCCCGGGUCUUGUACACACCGCCCGUCACACCAUGGGAGUUGGUUCUACCUUAAGGCAAGGUUUCAAACCCUUGACCACGGUAUAGUCAGCGACUGGGGUGAAGUCGUAACAAGGUAGCCGUAGGGGAACCUGCGGCUGGAUUACCUCCUUUCUAA
This 1482-nucleotide ribosomal RNA is filed under the name Pelagibacterales bacterium SAG-MED14. RNAcentral's name for it is "bacterial SSU rRNA". It matches the Rfam family "Bacterial small subunit ribosomal RNA". The record is from RNAcentral. Lineage: Bacteria; Pseudomonadati; Pseudomonadota; Alphaproteobacteria; Candidatus Pelagibacterales.